Molecule: transfer RNA, 86 nt
Filed under: Minisyncoccota bacterium
Lineage: Bacteria; Bacillati; Minisyncoccota
Description: tRNA-Ser
Rfam family: tRNA
About the family: Transfer RNA (tRNA) molecules are approximately 80 nucleotides in length.
Source: RNAcentral
GGAGAGAUGGCUGAGUGGUCGAAAGCACCGGUUUCGAAAACCGGCAUACUCAAAAGGUAUCGAGGGUUCGAAUCCCUCUCUCUCCG